Molecule: small nuclear RNA, 22 nt
Filed under: Arabidopsis thaliana (thale cress)
Lineage: Eukaryota; Viridiplantae; Streptophyta; Magnoliopsida; Brassicales; Brassicaceae
Description: snRNA_07609
Source: RNAcentral
GCACCGCACGUCGCGUGGUGUC